This 85-nucleotide transfer RNA is filed under the name Felis catus (domestic cat). It matches the Rfam family "tRNA". From Rfam's summary of the family: Transfer RNA (tRNA) molecules are approximately 80 nucleotides in length. Their secondary structure includes four short double-helical elements and three loops (D, anti-codon, and T loops). Further hydrogen bonds mediate the characteristic L-shaped molecular structure. tRNAs have two regions of fundamental functional importance: the anti-codon, which is responsible for specific mRNA codon recognition, and the 3' end, to which the tRNAs corresponding amino acid is attached (by aminoacyl-tRNA synthetases). tRNAs cope with the degeneracy of the genetic code in two manners: having more than one tRNA (with a specific anti-codon) for a particular amino acid; and 'wobble' base-pairing, i.e. permitting non-standard base-pairing at the 3rd anti-codon position. Lineage: Eukaryota; Metazoa; Chordata; Mammalia; Carnivora; Felidae. The record is from Rfam by way of RNAcentral.
GCCUCGUUGGCUCAGUCGGUUAAGCGUCUGGCUUCAGCUCAGGUCAUGAUCUCACGGUUCGUGGGUUCGAGCCCCACAUCAGGCU